UUAUUGAGGCCGGAAAUGGUUCCCGACACACCCGAAUAUGGGUACCUGAGAUGCAGGAUACACUGCACUGCCAAUA
This 76-nucleotide non-coding RNA is filed under the name Candidatus Timburyella stercoris. RNAcentral describes it as "skipping-rope RNA". It matches the Rfam family "skipping-rope RNA". From Rfam's summary of the family: Firmicutes, Fusobacteria, AlphaProteobacteria, Spirochaetes. Downstream gene The record is from RNAcentral. Lineage: Bacteria; Bacillati; Bacillota; Clostridia.